UACGGCGGCCAUAGCGGAGGGGAAACGCCCGGCUCCAUUCCGAACCCGGAAGCUAAGCCCUCCAGCGCCGAUGGUACUGCACUCGUGAGGGUGUGG
Molecule: ribosomal RNA, 96 nt
Filed under: Tsukamurella pulmonis
Lineage: Bacteria; Bacillati; Actinomycetota; Actinomycetes; Mycobacteriales; Tsukamurellaceae
Source: RNAcentral